RNAcentral lists this ribosomal RNA (253 nucleotides) under uncultured prokaryote. RNAcentral describes it as "partial 16S ribosomal RNA". It matches the Rfam family "Bacterial small subunit ribosomal RNA", at positions 524 to 776 of the family's 1533-position model. The record is from RNAcentral.
UACGUAGGGUGCGAGCGUUAAUCGGAAUUACUGGGCGUAAAGCGUGCGCAGGCGGUUAUGUAAGACAGAUGUGAAAUCCCAGGGCUCAACCUUGGAACUGCAUUUGUGACUGCAUAGCUAGAGUACGGUAGAGGGGGAUGGAAUUCCGCGUGUAGCAGUGAAAUGCGCAGAUAUCAGGAAGAACACCCGUGGCUAAGGCGGCUCUCUAGUACGGUACUGACGCUGAGACGCGAAAGCGUGGGGAGCGAACAGG